UCAGAAAUAGUUUAAUUAAAAUAUUAAUUUUGGAGAUUAAUGAUGGAAAAAUUUUCUUUCUGAA
RNAcentral lists this transfer RNA (64 nucleotides) under Pselaphinae sp. 8 EF-2015. RNAcentral's name for it is "tRNA-Pro". The record is from RNAcentral. Lineage: Eukaryota; Metazoa; Arthropoda; Insecta; Coleoptera; Staphylinidae.